RNAcentral lists this ribosomal RNA (1322 nucleotides) under Xylaria sp. ARIZ FL1632. RNAcentral's name for it is "eukaryotic LSU rRNA". The stretch from base 738 to 1322 matches the Rfam family "Eukaryotic large subunit ribosomal RNA", at positions 1 to 596 of the family's 3401-position model. The record is from RNAcentral. Lineage: Eukaryota; Fungi; Ascomycota; Sordariomycetes; Xylariales; Xylariaceae.
GGAUCAUUAAAGAGUUUAAUAAAACUCCUAAACCCCUGUGAACUUACUGGUGUUUGGCUCGCCAGAUAUAGUCUGGUCCGUAAGCAAAUCGACUGCCUGCCUGUGUAACAGGCAGGUAAGCUUUUGUCGCGGGGUCCCGGAUCAACCCGGGCUAGAUAGCCACUUAACUAUAUACUUUUUAUAAAAUCUGUGAACUUACUAGGUUGGAUUCUCGCCAGAGAUAGUCUGGUUUCUGCUUCGCGGAUCGCCUACCCGUGACACCUGUCACAGGCAGGUAUGCUUCUGCCGCGGGUCCGUAAGUAAAUCAUCUGUUUCGCAAGGGACGGCGAUUUACCUGUGGAAGAGGUCCGCUAACUAUAUUCUUAGUAUAGUUUGUUCACUAGAUCAAACAUUCUGAAUAAAAACUUAAACUAGUUAAAACUUUCAACAACGGAUCUCUUGGUUCUGGCAUCGAUGAAGAACGCAGCGAAAUGCGAUAAGUAAUGUGAAUUGCAGAAUUCAGUGAAUCAUCGAAUCUUUGAACGCACAUUGCGCCCAUUAGUAUUCUAGUGGGCAUGCCUGUUCGAGCGUCAUUUCAACCCUUAAGCCCCUGUUGCUUAGCGUUGGGAGCCUACAGCCUGCUGUAGCUCCUUAAAGGUAGUGGCGGAGUCGGUUCACACUCUAGACGUAGUAAAAUCUUUAUCUCGCCUAUGGAUGAGCCGGCGCCUUGCCGUAAAACCCCUAAUCUUUCACAAGGUUGACCUCGGAUCAGGUAGGAAUACCCGCUGAACUUAAGCAUAUCAAUAAGCGGAGGAAAAGAAACCAACAGGGAUUGCCCUAGUAACGGCGAGUGAAGCGGCAACAGCUCAAAUUUGAAAUCUGGCCUUCGGGUCCGAGUUGUAAUUUGCAGAGGAUGCUUUGGGCGUGGUGCCUUCCGAGUUCCCUGGAACGGGACGCCUCAGAGGGUGAGAGCCCCGUACGGUUGGACACCAAGCCUCUGUAAAGCUCCUUCGACGAGUCGAGUAGUUUGGGAAUGCUGCUCUAAAUGGGAGGUAAAUUUCUUCUAAAGCUAAAUAUUGGCCAGAGACCGAUAGCGCACAAGUAGAGUGAUCGAAAGAUGAAAAGCACUUUGAAAAGAGGGUUAAAUAGCACGUGAAAUUGUUGAAAGGGAAGCGUUUGCGACCAGACCUUUUCCCAGCGGAUCAUCCGGUGUUCUCACCGGUGCACUUCGCUGGGUUGAGGCCAGCAUCGGUUUCCGCAGGGGGAUAAAAGCCUGGGGAACGUAGCUCCCUCGGGAGUGUUAUAGCCCCUCGCAUAAUACCCUUGCGGGGACCGAGGACCGC